RNAcentral lists this ribosomal RNA (468 nucleotides) under uncultured bacterium. RNAcentral's name for it is "partial 16S ribosomal RNA". It matches the Rfam family "Bacterial small subunit ribosomal RNA", at positions 28 to 507 of the family's 1533-position model. The record is from RNAcentral.
GAUGAACGCUGGCGGCGUGCUUAACACAUGCAAGUCGAACGGUGAAGGCGGAGCUUGCUCUGCUGGAUCAGUGGCGAACGGGUGAGUAACACGUGAGCAAUCUGCCCCUGACUCUGGGAUAAGCGCUGGAAACGGCGUCUAAUACUGGAUACGAGCUGCGAAGGCAUCUUCAGCAGCUGGAAAGAAUUUCGGUCAGGGAUGAGCUCGCGGCCUAUCAGCUUGUUGGUGAGGUAAUGGCUCACCAAGGCGUCGACGGGUAGCCGGCCUGAGAGGGUGACCGGCCACACUGGGACUGAGACACGGCCCAGACUCCUACGGGAGGCAGCAGUGGGGAAUAUUGCACAAUGGGCGAAAGCCUGAUGCUGCAACGCCGCGUGAGGGACGACGGCCCUCGGGUUGUAAACCUCUUUUAGCAGGGAAGAAGCGAAAGUGACGGUACCUGCAGAAAAAGCGCCGGCUAACUACGUG